UGUCACGCAUAAGUGCGCCACGCAAACUGACUGCUUCAAAAAACUGCGGUUCUGCAAGAAACACAUCAUCGCCAGGUGGCGCAUGUUAGCUUGAACGUUGGAGCUUUUAUUUGGAGAAGAAGUGGGAAAAUGGAUGUUGCACAGCUGACUCUGUUUGCAAAGUGGGAGCAUCUCCCAAGAUGAAACAUGAAAUUCAAGAAAGCACCGCCUGUCAGAGAGCCUUAACAUCAGCUGCCAUCAUAGUAGUAGCGCCGUCUGGUUCAACACGUUAAAGCAAAUAUCGAAGCACGAUUUUCUGCUGCUCUUUGUGUGCAAUUGAGGUCACAUCCAGGCUGCGAAUGGUGCUGAAGAGCCAUGGGGUGCAUGCACAUUACAUGUGCUUACAGUCCUUUUGAUGGGGUGGAUUUCUGAGCCACAGUGCGUUGAAAGGUUGGAGAUGAAAAGAAGAAAAGAGCGUUGUGUGCGUCGCCUAAGACAACAGUGCAGUCUGGCAGAGUGGAGAGCCCUCUAAUGACUGAGUAAACAAAUGCUCAACAUAUGGAGGCCUCAAUCGCCAGGAGCACCACCUCCUCUGCAAACACAGCUCACAUGUCACACUGCGAUUCGGGAUGUGUUUUGACGUUCGGAUUCAAAAAGCUGCUUCUAAAACACACAUUUUGAAGAAACACGACCACUCAAGCACGGAGCCGAAUUGUCCCAGUCCUCUCAUCGGCGUCGUUAGCACAGCGAGCGGUUUCUUUUUCUCAUUGUCUUCCUCUGGGUGAAGUCCAUUUUCUUCCGUUUCGCCAGAACUGCACCAUGAAUACCAUUUACACCCCGGUCUAAGAUGAAUAGGCAUUGCAAUUUGAAAUCUAGUCAAAGAUGAGCAGAUAGCGGAGGCUGCUUUCAGAGAGGACGACCGAGGCUGUGCUGAAUGAAGACUUGGGUGAUAAAAGCAGAAUAAUGGUUUUUCAGCUUCACUGCCUCCUCAGCAUCAGCAGAAGGAACUGAAAUUCAUCCACUGCUGCCAGAUAUUGUUCCACUUUCCAGAGAAAAUGAAGAACAUCUUCGAGAAAAUGACAGCAUUUUCCACACUGAAUAAAAAAGUACAUUUUCUUUCAUGUUUUACAAACAUGACUAUUUUUGUUUUUUAGGUGAAUUAAAUGUAUGACGAUCACAAAAUGAUGAAUUGAGAGCUGAUUUGUAUGCAAACUGAUAAAGGCGGCCCUGCUAUAAUCUGCGGUUUCCUUAAGAUAAGAAAGUAUCUCUUUAUCAGAGGAAACAAAACUUCUUAUCUCAUUGAAACAAGAUAAUUUUUUCUACGGAGAUUAUGGUUUCUUUUGAGGUACCAACAUGAUUAUGGUGUAGUCAUUGGCUGCUUUGUCUUUCAUAUGGCUUGAUUUUAUCAGUAUUGCUGUGUAUCAGACAUGAAUACGGUGGGAAAAUGGAUGUGUGAUCGUUUUUGUUGUCAUUUUGGUAAUUAAUCAUGUGAUGGAGUGCUUUGGAGCUGCUGUGGGGCUGCUGACAUUUCCAUGGCCAGCUCCUUAUUGAUCUAUCCAAACUUUUGCAUCGUAUAGUGUGUACAGCACAUUUUAACGCACACACAUCAUUUACACAUGAAGGCAGGGGCUUGUUCUCACGGCCUUCCUCAUAAUUUAGGGACCCAGUUUAAGAUCGCUCUGCUUGUAUUUAAGUCUUAAUGGUUGGAAACGUCGUAUUUGUAUGAAUUGUUUUUGCUCCGUCCAGAGGAACAACCUCUUGUUUCACAAAACUGUUCUAAAAUACAAACCAAAUACUUGUUCUUUUUGUCAAAUGGGAUUUAUAUGCAAAGUACACUUGGUCCACAGAAGGAUCCUACAAACACUUGUUUUUCUCAAAAGCCAUGUCUUUUUGAUUGUGCAGUGCCUGAAGAACCUAUCGGAUCCUGAUUUUUGCAUUUAAAUUGCAAAUGUUUGAGCGCUACAUCAGCUUGCACGUCCUUUGUAAUUGUCUGUACCUGUGCGACAAUCUAGUACAUUGUUUUGUAAUUGCUCCUAUCCCAAAUGUAACAGCAGAGAUGAAUGGGGUUUAUUUUACCUAACAGCUACUGCAGCUUUCCUACUUCAGCAGAAUAUCGGAAUAUAGCUCCUGCGCUACAUUCUAGUUAUUAAACAUGAACAAUCACACCUGCUUCAAAAAAC
Poecilia latipinna (sailfin molly) is the source of this 2159-nucleotide long non-coding RNA. RefSeq lists it as uncharacterized. The record is from RefSeq and is a predicted model, not a curated record. The transcript has 5 exons. NCBI's taxonomy places the organism in Eukaryota, Metazoa, Chordata, Actinopteri, Cyprinodontiformes, Poeciliidae.